UAGGGAAUCUUCGGCAAUGGGGGGAACCCUGACCGAGCAACGCCGCGUGAGUGAAGAAGGUUUUCGGAUCGUAAAGCUCUGUUGUUAAGGAAGAACGAGUGUGAGAAUGGAAAGUUCAUACUGUGACGGUACUUAACCAGAAAGGGACGGCUAACUACGUGCCAGCAGCCGCGGUAAUACGUAGGUCCCGAGCGUUGUCCGGAUUUAUUGGGCGUAAAGCGAGCGCAGGCGGUUAGAUAAGUCUGAAGUUAAAGGCAGUGGCUCAACCAUUGUAGGCUUUGGAAACUGUUUAACUUGAGUGCAGAAGGGGAGAGUGGAAUUCCAUGUGUAGCGGUGAAAUGCGUAGAUAUAUGGAGGAACACCGGUGGCGAAAGCGGCUCUCUGGUCUGUAACUGACGCUGAGGCACGAAAGCGUGGGGAGCGAACAGG
Molecule: ribosomal RNA, 429 nt
Filed under: Bacteroidota bacterium
Lineage: Bacteria; Pseudomonadati; Bacteroidota
Description: Bacteroidetes bacterium partial 16S ribosomal RNA
Rfam family: Bacterial small subunit ribosomal RNA
Source: RNAcentral